This 336-nucleotide unclassified non-coding RNA is filed under the name soil metagenome. RNAcentral describes it as "partial contains 5.8S ribosomal RNA, internal transcribed spacer 2, and large subunit ribosomal RNA". The stretch from base 1 to 120 matches the Rfam family "5.8S ribosomal RNA", at positions 35 to 154 of the family's 154-position model. The record is from RNAcentral.
GAUGAAGAACGUAGCGAAAUGCGAUAAGUAGUGUGAAUUGCAGAAUUCAGUGAAUCAUCGAAUCUUUGAACGCUCAUUGCGCCUCUUGGUAGUCCAUGGGGCAUGCCUGUUCGAGCGUCAUUUGUACCUUCAAGCUUUGCUUGGUGUUGGGUGUUUGUCUCGCCUUUGCGUGUAGACUCGCCUUAAAAUAAUUGGCAGCCGGCGUAUUGAUUUCGGAGCGCAGUACAUCUCGCGCUUUGCACUCAUAACGACAGCGUCCAAAAGUACAUUUUACACUCUUGACCUCGGAUCAGGUAGGGAUACCCGCUGAACUUAAGCAUAUCAAUAAGCGGAGGA